RNAcentral lists this ribosomal RNA (108 nucleotides) under Pseudomonas sp. TKO30. RNAcentral also lists the same sequence under 4 other names. Lineage: Bacteria; Pseudomonadati; Pseudomonadota; Gammaproteobacteria; Pseudomonadales; Pseudomonadaceae. The record is from RNAcentral.
CCAUAGAGCGUUGGAACCACCUGAUCCCAUCCCGAACUCAGAAGUGAAACGAUGCAUCGCCGAUGGUAGUGUGGGGUUUCCCCAUGUGAGAGUAGGUCAUCGUCAAGA